RNAcentral lists this ribosomal RNA (1031 nucleotides) under uncultured bacterium. Its description in RNAcentral is "bacterial SSU rRNA". It matches the Rfam family "Bacterial small subunit ribosomal RNA", at positions 532 to 1501 of the family's 1533-position model. The record is from RNAcentral.
GGGAGACGGUUGUUUCGGAUUAUUGGGCGUAAGGGCGCGUGGGCUGCGGGGUAAGUCGGGUGUGAAAUCUCAGAGCUCAACUCUGAAACUGCACUCGAUACUGCUCUGCUUGAGGACUGGAGAGGAGAUUGGAAUUCACGGUGUAGCAGUGAAAUGCGUAGAUAUCGUGAGGAAGACCAGUGGCGAAGGCGGAUCUCUGGACAGUUCCUGACGCUGAGGCGCGAAGGCCAGGGGAGCAAACGGGAUUAGAUACCCCGGUAGUCCUGGCAGUAAACGGUGCACGUUUGGUGUGCGCGGAUUCGACCCCGUGCGUGCCGGAGCUAACGCGUUAAACGUGCCGCCUGAGGAGUACGGUCGCAAGAUUAAAACUCAAAGAAAUUGACGGGGGCCCGCACAAGCGGUGGAGUAUGUGGCUUAAUUCGAUGCAACGCGAAGAACCUUACCUGGGCUUGACAUGCAUCGUGUCGCCGGUGAAAGCCGGCUAGUGUAGCAAUACACGCUUUGCACAGGUGCUGCAUGGCUGUCGUCAGCUCGUGUCGUGAGAUGUUGGGUUAAGUCCCGCAACGAGCGCAACCCCUGUGAACUGUUGCUACCCAGCACCAUUUUGUUGCCAAUCCUGCCGAUUGGGCAAACAAGUGGAGGCAAAAUGGUGCUGGGGCACUCUGUUCAGACUGCCCUGUGAAACGGGGAGGAAGGUGGGGAUGACGUCAAGUCAGGAUGGCCCUUACGCCCAGGGCUGCACACGUACUACAAUGCUCAGUACAGAACGAACCGAAAUCGCGAGGUGGAGGAAAUCACUAAAACUGAGCCCAGUUCGGAUUGUAGGCUGCAACUCGCCUACAUGAAGCCGGAAUCGCUAGUAAUGGCGUAUCAGCUACGACGCCGUGAAUACGUUCCCGGGCCUUGUACACACCGCCCGUCACAUCAUGGGAGUCGCUUGUACCCGAAGUGUCUGUGCCAAUCCGCCUCGGCGGAAAGGCAGGGCCCUAAGGUAUGAGCGGUAACUGGGAUGAAGUCGUAACAAGGUAACC